This is a long non-coding RNA of Arvicanthis niloticus (Nile rat), 342 nucleotides long. RefSeq lists it as uncharacterized. NCBI's taxonomy places the organism in Eukaryota, Metazoa, Chordata, Mammalia, Rodentia, Muridae. The record is from RefSeq and is a predicted model, not a curated record.
UCCGGGGCCAGACUGAGGCUGCGGGGGCGAACGGAGAUGGAGACGCCCUAGGGGAAAGGAACCGCCUGGGGACCCGGUCUAUUGUCAAGGGAAUGGAAAAACACAACUUGUUGAGCGCCUACCCUGCGUCCAAUUCUAGGCUGUGUGAUUUUAUUAUGCAACCUUUACAGUUUCAGCCGAAGUUUUGAAACAUUGACCGGCUCCAAAGCCAGCGCCCUGGAGAGGAAGAAGAGAAGGAUGACUUCUGCCGCACUUCGACUAGACAGAAGAUUCCAGGCCUUCUGUGCCCAGGAUGUGUUACUUCCAACUCUCUAUUCAAAUAUACCAACCUAUACUCCCACA